CAUAUCUUUGCUUCAGUCCCCCAGUUUGAGGCAAGAGUUCUGCUUGCUGCCUUGGACUACAAUUUCCACCGGAACCGACCAACAAUGAAAACGUUGGACGGCAAAGAGAUUUUCAAAACAUUGUAUAAGAAGAACGGUAGAAGAUGCAGCGUAUAUGCCUUGAAAUCUGAAAAAACCUACGGAUACAUUUCCGAGUUGUAAAGAAGGAUUAUGAAGAACAGACUCACAAGUGGAGUGGGGAUGCCUAGAAGGAGGAGCCUUCUCCCAGAUGACCCCAGACAGCUUGUUUUGGUGCCCACCGUACCUGCACCAGCCACAUCAGACUUGUUGCAGAGACAAGUCAGAAGAGGUCUAGGACCGUUAUUCCGACCAGCAUCUGAUGUGGAAGGAUCCCCAUAGGAGAUCACCUUGCAUGUGUCCUGGUACUUGUCAGGCAGGAUCACAAGGGAAAGAAUUCAG
This is a long non-coding RNA of Micropterus dolomieu (smallmouth bass), 459 nucleotides long. RefSeq lists it as uncharacterized. NCBI's taxonomy places the organism in Eukaryota, Metazoa, Chordata, Actinopteri, Centrarchiformes, Centrarchidae. The record is from RefSeq and is a predicted model, not a curated record. The transcript is spliced from 3 exons.